This 92-nucleotide transfer RNA is filed under the name bacterium HR15. RNAcentral describes it as "tRNA-Arg". The record is from RNAcentral.
AGUUCGUUGGACUGGAUCGUGUUGACGAUCUCCUGAAUCGUCACUUGAAAGUCGAGGGCGAUGCCAUCACCGUUCAAGUCGGAGAGGGUUUU